CCUACGGGAGGCAGCAGUGGGGAAUAUUGGACAAUGGGGGAAACCCUGAUCCAGCGACGCCGCGUGAGUGAAGAAGUAUUUCGGUACGUAAAGCUCUAUCAGCAGGAAAGAAAAUGACGGUACCUGACUAAGAAGCCCCGGCUAACUACGUGCCAGCAGCCGCGGUAAUACGUAGGGGGCAAGCGUUAUCCGGAUUUACUGGGUGGAAAGGGAGCGUAGACGGCAGCGCAAGUCUGGAGUGAAAUGCCGGGGCCCAACCCCGGAACUGCUCUGGAAACUGUGAAGCUGGAGUGCAGGAGAGGUAAGCGGAAUUCCUGGUGUAGGGGUGAAAUGCGUAGAUAUCAGGAGGAACACCGGCGGCGAAGGCGGCUUACUGGACUGUAACUGACGUUGAGGCUCGAAGGCGUGGGGAGCAAACAGGAUUAGAUACCCUAGUAGUC
This 440-nucleotide ribosomal RNA is filed under the name uncultured bacterium. Its description in RNAcentral is "partial 16S ribosomal RNA". It matches the Rfam family "Bacterial small subunit ribosomal RNA", at positions 338 to 795 of the family's 1533-position model. The record is from RNAcentral.